AGUGAACGCUGGCGGUAGGCCUAACACAUGCAAGUCGAACGGCAGCACAGUAAGAGCUUGCUCUUACGGGUGGCGAGUGGCGGACGGGUGAGGAAUACAUCGGAAUCUACUUUUUCGUGGGGGAUAACGUAGGGAAACUUACGCUAAUACCGCAUACGACCUACGGGUGAAAGCAGGGGAUCUUCGGACCUUGCGCGAUUGAAUGAGCCGAUGUCGGAUUAGCUAGUUGGCGGGGUAAAGGCCCACCAAGGCGACGAUCCGUAGCUGGUCUGAGAGGAUGAUCGGCCACACUGGAACUGAGACACGGUCCAGACUCCUACGGGAGGCAGCAGUGGGGAAUAUUGGACAAUGGGCGCAAGCCUGAUCCAGCCAUACCGCGUGGGUGAAGAAGGCCUUCGGGUUGUAAAGCCCUUUUGUUGGGAAAGAACAGCAGCAGGUUAAUACCCCGCUGUUCUGACGGUACCCAAAGAAUAAGCACCGGCUAACUUCGUG
RNAcentral lists this ribosomal RNA (492 nucleotides) under uncultured bacterium. Its description in RNAcentral is "partial 16S ribosomal RNA". It matches the Rfam family "Bacterial small subunit ribosomal RNA", at positions 29 to 507 of the family's 1533-position model. The record is from RNAcentral.